CGAGAGGUCCAGAAGACCUGCUAACUCUUCAAUCUGGCGAA
This 41-nucleotide transfer RNA is filed under the name Crotalus atrox (western diamondback rattlesnake). RNAcentral describes it as "partial tRNA-Ser". Lineage: Eukaryota; Metazoa; Chordata; Lepidosauria; Squamata; Viperidae. The record is from RNAcentral.